RNAcentral lists this unclassified non-coding RNA (240 nucleotides) under soil metagenome. RNAcentral describes it as "partial contains 5.8S ribosomal RNA, internal transcribed spacer 2, and large subunit ribosomal RNA". The record is from RNAcentral.
AACGGUCUAUACCUGCGGUACCUGCGGAGGGAUCAUUAAAGAGUUUAACUACUCAAACCAUUGUGAACCUUACCUCAACCGUUGCUUCGGCGGGCGGGCCCGGGCCAAGCCCGGCGCCCCCCCGGCCCCUCGCGGGCGCCCGCCGGAGGUUAACCGAACCCUUGAAUUGUAUGGCCUCUCUGAGUCUUCUGUACUGAAUAAGUCAAAACUUUCAGCAACGGAUCUCUAGAUCGGAAGAGC